ACAGCAGGGGCUGGCCUCCCACCCAGCACUACUCAGUCUCUGUGCCUGUGCAGACGGGGUCCCCCCAGACACCCCUAAAUCUCCACUUUCCUUACCAGGGGCCACCAGGUGGACGAUCGUAAUUACUGAGCUGGCAAACUCGAGAGCCGAAUGCAAGACUCACAGUUCCCUUCCUGCUGGUACUGAAGACGUGCAACUUAAGACCCCAGAAUCCAGGAGUGUCAGGCCUGGGCCACAUCUGUACGUUUAGUUUUCACAAUGGGCUGAACCUAACGGCUGUCCCACACCUGCUUUCACAACUGCAAAAGUAACUAGCGUGCACAGCAGACCCCAAGCAGCCCCUACGUGUUCAUGGAACAACAGGACAAAGAGGACGACACGGCGUUCAACUUACGCUCCAGGUCCUUGCCACGUCCAUGUGAUGGUGUCCUGGGGAGGAAGAGGCAGGGUCAGUCAGCAUGGGGCCUGCACCCAGGGCCUGCACCAAGCACCUGCGUGUGCCGGCCUCUCCCUGCACCUCCCACCCCACAGAGGCGCUGCAGCCAGGGGGAAGGGAGGAGGGUGCUAGAGCUCCAGCUUCCCAGAGUCCCUGAGGAUCCAGGACUCGGACCAGCCCCCCAGCCUGAGGUCCCCAGAGCCUCUAAGGACCCAGAGAACCACCACCUUACAGGUCCCCAGAGUUCCCC
Molecule: long non-coding RNA, 686 nt
Filed under: Homo sapiens (human)
Lineage: Eukaryota; Metazoa; Chordata; Mammalia; Primates; Hominidae
Description: HSALNT0324697
Source: RNAcentral